Molecule: non-coding RNA, 27 nt
Filed under: Bombyx mori (domestic silkworm)
Lineage: Eukaryota; Metazoa; Arthropoda; Insecta; Lepidoptera; Bombycidae
Source: RNAcentral
GAGCUUAGGGAGUAAGUGGAAGUCUGA